UCAGGAUGAACGCUAGCUACAGGCUUAACACAUGCAAGUCAGGGGCAGCAUGAUCAAAGCUUGCUUGAUUGAUGGCGACCGGCGCACGGGUGAGUAACGCGUAUCCAACCUUCCCCUUAGUAGGGCAUAGCCCGGCGAAAGUCGGAUUAAUACCCUAUGUUAUUCGUCGAGGACAUCUGAAGUGAAUCAAAGAUUUAUCGCUAAGGGAUGGGGAUGCGUCUGAUUAGGUUGUUGGCGGGUAACGGCCCACCAAGCCAUCGAUCAGUAGGGGUUCUGAGAGGAAGGUCCCCCACAUUGGUACUGAGACACGGACCAAACUCCUACGGGAGGCAGCAGUGAGGAAUAUUGGUCAAUGGGCGAGAGCCUGAACCAGCCAAGUAGCGUGCCAGGAUGACUGCCCUAUGGGUUGUAAACUGCUUUUAUACGGGGAUAAAGUGAGGUAUGCAUACCUUUUUGUAGGUACCGUAUGAAUAAGGACCGGCUAAUUCCGUGCCAGCAGCCGC
RNAcentral lists this ribosomal RNA (503 nucleotides) under uncultured bacterium. RNAcentral's name for it is "bacterial SSU rRNA". It matches the Rfam family "Bacterial small subunit ribosomal RNA", at positions 24 to 518 of the family's 1533-position model. The record is from RNAcentral.